Athene cunicularia (burrowing owl) is the source of this 879-nucleotide long non-coding RNA. RefSeq lists it as uncharacterized. The transcript is spliced from 3 exons. Lineage: Eukaryota; Metazoa; Chordata; Aves; Strigiformes; Strigidae. The record is from RefSeq and is a predicted model, not a curated record.
AAUGUGCACACACUAAAGCAAAAGUUCAUCCUUUAUGUACUUUAAAGACAUGAACAUUCAUAAAUUUUCCAGGAAGUCUCCACCUUUCUGCCUAUCAGAUUUACAUCAUGCUGCAGUUGCAAAACUACACGACGCAUGCGCAGGGGUCUCGGGUGGUUGUUGGUGGUCAUCUGGGGAGUUAGCCCCCUACUCCUUUUUCCCUUUUAGGGUCACGAGCCUUUUGAGAACAAUUUCUUCUCCUUGGAUGUUUUCCAGCUCUGUUGUCCAGUCAAGAUGUUCUUUCUUAUCCACCUUCUUUGAGUAUUUCUGCCAGGAUGUGUGUUUUCAAGCCAGGUUCUGUGGAAACGGGGUGUGUGCGCAGCUUUGUGUUGCAUGGCUCAAAUCCAAGCGCUGGCAGGACGCUGCUUGGUGGAAGGUUGUCGUCUGGAAUUCAUCACCGGAAGGAGUCGGCACCGCCUGUGAAAUCCUGGGUCUUGCUGGAGAAGUUCUCAAUCCCGUUCACCUAUGUUACCAGUGGAGGAUUGAACUUGCGGUGAAGGCAACAAGUGUCUGUUCUUGCUAGUUUUGUGAAAGUUACAGGAUCUCACUGUAAAAGAAACCUACCAGUUUGUACUCAGAACGUACAAGAGGGAUGGAUUAAUAUAAGAUACGUGAGCAAUAUCCUACAGACAGUUGAGGUAAGAGUUUUGCUUGAAGGGAGGAAUUGACCUAAUCUCUUGUUUGAAAACAUCUAGCAAAGUUGAGCAGUUUGUUUGGACAGAACCAGCUGUGUUACAGCUGUUCUGUGUUCUCAUUAUUAACCCCUGCAGAGGGUGAGUGGGCAGAUUUCUUCCUCUGCUAAUCACCCCCAUACUGUAUAUUCCAUAUGUACCACUGAGA